UACGAAGGGGACUAGCGUUGUUCGGAAUCACUGGGCGUAAAGCGCACGUAGGCGGCUUUCUAAGUCGGGGGGUGAAAUCCUGGAGCUCAACUCCAGAACUGCCUUCGAUACUGGAAGCUCGAGUCCGGGAGAGGUGAGUGGAACUGCGAGUGUAGAGGUGAAAUUCGUAGAUAUUCGCAAGAACACCAGUGGCGAAGGCGGCUCACUGGCCCGGUACUGACGCUGAGGUGCGGAAAGCGUGGG
This 243-nucleotide ribosomal RNA is filed under the name uncultured bacterium. Its description in RNAcentral is "partial 16S ribosomal RNA". It matches the Rfam family "Bacterial small subunit ribosomal RNA", at positions 524 to 765 of the family's 1533-position model. The record is from RNAcentral.